This 73-nucleotide transfer RNA is filed under the name Urocitellus parryii (Arctic ground squirrel). RNAcentral's name for it is "Spermophilus parryii (Arctic ground squirrel) tRNA". It matches the Rfam family "tRNA". From Rfam's summary of the family: Transfer RNA (tRNA) molecules are approximately 80 nucleotides in length. Their secondary structure includes four short double-helical elements and three loops (D, anti-codon, and T loops). Lineage: Eukaryota; Metazoa; Chordata; Mammalia; Rodentia; Sciuridae. RNAcentral also lists the same sequence under 2 other names. The record is from Rfam by way of RNAcentral.
GAGGAUAUAGCUCAGUUGGCAGAGUGCUUGUCUAGCAUGCAAAAAGUCCUGGUUUCAAUCCCCAGAAUCACCA